CCCUUAGAUGUUCUGGGCCGCACGCGCGCUACACUGAUGCAUUCAACGAGUCUAAAACCUGGUCUGAGAGGCCUGGGCAAUCUUUUAAACCUGCAUCGUGAUAGGGAUAGAUUAUUGCAAUUAUUAAUCUUGAACGAGGAAUUCCUAGUAAACGCAAAUCAUCAAUUUGCAUUGAUUACGUCCCUGCCCUUUGUACACACCGCCCGUCGCACCUACCGAUUGAAUGGUCCGGUGAAGCCUCGGGAUUGUGGCCAGUUCACUUUAUUGGGAGUUGGCUGUGAGAACUUGUCUAAACCUUAUCAUUUAGAGGAAGGUGAAGUCGUAACA
Molecule: ribosomal RNA, 327 nt
Filed under: uncultured eukaryote
Lineage: Eukaryota
Description: partial 18S ribosomal RNA
Rfam family: Eukaryotic small subunit ribosomal RNA
Source: RNAcentral